ACCAAUUAUUUGCUGUUUUAACGAUCUGUCCUUAAGUUUCACUUGUCCUGGCGGAGCAUUCCAACUUACCAGUUGGCCAUCCUAAUUAGAAACAGUCCCCUGCAUUACGUGGAGUGUUUCAUUUAAAAUGCUGUCCUUCUUAUUGACAGGGCUGGUGUGAGCUGACAAAUCCCUGCUCUCACAGCUCACUCCCUGUCGUGCAUCCAUUGUGGUAACAUAUACUUGAGCUUUGUUCUUUAAAUGUGAACAUUUUGUAAUUUUUGCACAAUAGCUGGUUUAUCUAAGCAGUGAAAUAACGCAGCACACAAAGAAACAGUAAAGCGCACCAGACAAAUGGUGGGACACUAUACAGGACAGCAAUGUUUUAUGGUAAAAAACAGGACAUUUUGAGUACGUUCUUUCAGUUUUGAUUUUGUUUUCCUGUUUCCUUAUCAAAACAUCUUUUUUUCUCAUUUGACAUUUCUUAGUCGCGGGGGUCGCUCGCGACUCACUAUGGAGGAAGCGCUAUUGAAAAUGACUGACUGACUGACAUUUCUGAGUAGAUUUAUUCCACUUCAGCCUAAGAUGCUAGGUCUGGUUAUUUUAACAAUACAAACACAGCUGAUUUUAAUUGCAGGUUCUGGCCAAACUUUUCUUGUUUAAAAGUUUAACUUUGCACUGUCGCUACAUGCUCGUUCAGGAGGAGGGAUUGCUGGAAAAUCAUUUAAACAUCCUACUUAAAACAUAAUUUCGUUGUGUUUUACUUUCUGAAGAUUUUAUGUUGCUACUAACAUUGACUGUGGUUCUGAUUCCCAUUUGGACCAGCUGGCCCACGAAAUAACCUCUGAUUAAACUAAAAUUUGUUGAAGUAACAUAACAUUUCCCCGCAGAAAGUCACAUACGAAGAGUUCAAACUGCAAAUUCACAGACGUACAAAUAACAUAAUUGUCAUUUCCAGCCAGUGUCGGUGUUUUGAGUUUGUGUUUUUGUUUUUGUUUAUUUCUCCUGGUCUGGUCCUUAGUUUACCCUUCGUUCUGUGUUUUUGUCUUGUUAAUUGAUUUCAGUCUCUGCAGUCUGACCCACACCUGUUCCUUGUUCCCCGUGAUUAUUCUGUCCCUCCGUUCAUUGGUUCCCCCUGGUGUUCUGCCUGUAUAUAAGUUCCUUAGUUGCCUUUGUUCCCCGCUGGUUCCUUGUGUGUUGUCUUCCAUGUCGUUCAGUCGUGUCUGGUUCAAUAACUGUGCCAUACCCUGAUGUCUGGAAUUCUGUACUUUGGUCUGGUUGGAGCAUGUCAUAUUCCUGGUUGCCUACCCUGUCGUGUGAAUAAGGAUAAUUAAAAUUCUACUUAUCUUCAUUCUGCCGGCUCCUGGAACCUUCUCUGCACUUUGGUCCUACCAUCAAGACAGAAGGAAUUAGCCAGAUGGACCAAGCGAGAAGGCAGCAGGGGUUCCAGUCAGGGCAAGAGUUGUUAGGGCGACCCUCACACCUUCUAACUGCCAGCAGCUCUCCCGGGCAACGUCAGGAGAUGGCGAACCAGGUCUUGGGGUGGCUGGAGGAGUGGGGGAACGUCUUCCCUGAGAGUCUGCUGUUUCCCGGUUUGUUAAGACGGGAGCGGCAGGGGCCGUAUAGGAGAUCGGCCCCUUGUUCGACCUGAUUUCAGGGGGUCCAGACAUUGUGGGUCGUCUGCCGCCGCUCUUAUCCUCAACUCCUGUUCCGGCGUGGCUUAAGGAGGAGCCGCGGUCUGUUCCCGUUUCUGUUCCUGAUCUUGCUCACAUUUCUGGUUCUGUUCUGGAGGGGUCCAAAGACGAGCUGCCAUCACACCCUGUUCCUGCCUCUGAGGGGUUCAGGGAUGGACUGCCUCCACUGCCUGAUCCUGUUCCUGAGCGGUUCGCGGACUGACCGCUGUCUGAUCCUGUUCUGGAGGAGCUCGUGGGUGAGCUGCCCCACCUCCUGUUUCUGUCCAUGAGGGGUGCGAGGAUGCACUGCCACCAUUAGCUGUGCCUCAGGGGCUCCACCGCAGGUCUGCAGGGCUCCGCCGCAGAUCUUCGCGGCCUCACCAAGGGCUCCAGUGGUUUCUGCACUGCUCUCCAGGAUCCCAGUGGUUUCUGCACCGCCUAAAUUCUGGGUUUUGCACAAGUCGACUUUCGGGUAAAGCGGAAAACGAGUACGAGUACAAGUACAAACCGCACAUCAUGACAAUAAUAAGCAUGAAAUUACUUUUAAAGUGUCUCUUUCUAAGAUAUGAAAAUUGUUUUCGAAAUGUUAGUAACUGAAAAGUAAAAGUGGCAGUUUAAAGAGAGAUUUUAGCUAUAAAGCUCACAUCAAUGGUGAAGCUAGCUUUAGUUUUACAAGAUUAUUAAACUGUCAUGAAACUGUCAUCAAAACAUGAAUUAGAGGAAGUGAAAUUAAGUUCCGAAAACAGAUUUUUUUGGAGAAAAUAUAUCACUUUGUUGUUUUUUAUAAAAAUGCUGAACAGCCCACAGGGACAAGACGGGAGCCAGCAUUUAAAGAACUCAAAUCAUAUAGGCAAUGCCUACAAUUUCACAGUGGUAAGCUACAUUGUGGCCACAGCUGCCCUGGGGCACUGGCAGAAGUGAGGUUGCCACACACCACGGAGCCCCCUGACCACCAUCAACAGGCAAGGUGGGUGAAGUGUCUUGCCCAAGGACACAACAACCGAGACAGACAGAGUGGGGGUUCGAACCAGCAACCAGCCAGUUACAGGACAAACCCAUACCACCAUCGCCAUGUUCGCCAUAAAAGGAGUUACUAAACACUGCCUUAAGAGUCCCUCUGAGGAAUUAAACGUACUCCAGGGAGGAAGAGGAGCAGUAGCCCAAUGAAGUCCGACAACAACAACAGCAACAAUACCAGGAAAGUUCACCUACAGAGCCACAUUCUGCUGCGGUUUCAGCUGGAGCUGAUUCAAGUCAUUCAGAGGUGCUACAGGGUCGGAGUUUCCUUUCACCACCUGAUUCAGCAUCCCACAUCUGGCCCAAAUUAGCAUGCAAAUGGACAUGCCCAAACCCCUGGAGCCAGCCAACAAGGGGGCUGAGGCAAACAGAUCCCUAUGACACACAGACAAAUGCAGCCAGACGGACAGCCCACAGGAACGCCUCACAUGUACCAUGGGGGGAAUGCAAAACAUCCUGCGCUGAGCAGCACCUCAAACUUCACUCCACAUCUGGGCUGCAGAUGUACUGUCAGCAGAAAAGAGACUGCACCACAGUUCUGCAUGCGUGCUUGGAUACUUGUAUAUAUGAGCAACUGUGAGUGUCCAUAUUUACACAGAACACACAUUAAACAUUUGCGUUUUAUAAACUGA
This is an RNA transcript of Girardinichthys multiradiatus, 3301 nucleotides long. It is a transcript of the gene named transmembrane protein 229B, with no coding region annotated. The record is from RefSeq and is a predicted model, not a curated record. Lineage: Eukaryota; Metazoa; Chordata; Actinopteri; Cyprinodontiformes; Goodeidae. The transcript has 3 exons.